RNAcentral lists this transfer RNA (51 nucleotides) under Gammaproteobacteria bacterium. Its description in RNAcentral is "tRNA-Ser". It matches the Rfam family "tRNA", at positions 25 to 71 of the family's 71-position model. Rfam says of the family: Transfer RNA (tRNA) molecules are approximately 80 nucleotides in length. Their secondary structure includes four short double-helical elements and three loops (D, anti-codon, and T loops). Further hydrogen bonds mediate the characteristic L-shaped molecular structure. tRNAs have two regions of fundamental functional importance: the anti-codon, which is responsible for specific mRNA codon recognition, and the 3' end, to which the tRNAs corresponding amino acid is attached (by aminoacyl-tRNA synthetases). tRNAs cope with the degeneracy of the genetic code in two manners: having more than one tRNA (with a specific anti-codon) for a particular amino acid; and 'wobble' base-pairing, i.e. permitting non-standard base-pairing at the 3rd anti-codon position. The record is from RNAcentral. Lineage: Bacteria; Pseudomonadati; Pseudomonadota; Gammaproteobacteria.
AUCUGACUUUUAAUCAGGUGGUCGCAGGUUCGAUCCCUGCACGGCCCACCA